AAUAACUGAUCAGAACAAAUGGGGACUUCUGAAGGCAGCUGCAAUCAAAAAGCAAAUUGAGUUCUUCUUGUUGUUUUUUAAAGAGGACCAAAACUAGGAGCCAGACCCGACACAAAGGGAGAUAGUUCUUCUUCACCUGAAGCAGUCUUGAGCCUGCACAGCUAUGCAGGUACAGCUACAAAGAAGGUGCUUAGUGAGGAGGGCUUGGAAACAGGUGGAUGCCCACCAUCAAUAUAUGUAGCUGUAUAUAUUUAUAUUAUCUCCUACAUAUAUAUGGAUUGGUCAUUAAAUUGUAAUGUAUAACUAACACAAUUGUUGAAUUAAAAUUUGCACAUCAGCAUUAUAAUGGGCAGUAAAACUUUUCUGUCAAAUUGACAAGCUUAGAUUUUUUUUUGUUUGUUUCAUUAUUUGUUUGUGAUUUUUGUCCUGCUAGUAGAACACCUGCACAGGGAAUAAAAGUAUGUGACAUUUCA
RNAcentral lists this long non-coding RNA (473 nucleotides) under Anas platyrhynchos platyrhynchos (common mallard). RNAcentral's name for it is "lncRNA (ENSAPLG00000021101.1)". Lineage: Eukaryota; Metazoa; Chordata; Aves; Anseriformes; Anatidae. The record is from RNAcentral.